RNAcentral lists this ribosomal RNA (301 nucleotides) under uncultured bacterium. Its description in RNAcentral is "partial 16S ribosomal RNA". It matches the Rfam family "Bacterial small subunit ribosomal RNA", at positions 509 to 809 of the family's 1533-position model. The record is from RNAcentral.
CAGUAGCCGCGGUAAUACGUAGGUGGCAAGCGUUGUCCGGAAUUAUUGGGCGUAAAGCGCGCGCAGGCGGAUAGGUCAGUCUGUCUUAAAAGUUCGGGGCUUAACCCCGUGAUGGGAUGGAAACUGCCAAUCUAGAGUAUCGGAGAGGAAAGUGGAAUUCCUAGUGUAGCGGUGAAAUGCGUAGAUAUUAGGAAGAACACCAGUGGCGAAGGCGACUUUCUGGACGAAAACUGACGCUGAGGCGCGAAAGCCAGGGGAGCGAACGGGAUUAGAUACCCCCGUAGUCCCUGUCUCUUAUACA